RNAcentral lists this ribosomal RNA (205 nucleotides) under uncultured bacterium. RNAcentral describes it as "partial 16S ribosomal RNA". It matches the Rfam family "Bacterial small subunit ribosomal RNA", at positions 30 to 234 of the family's 1533-position model. The record is from RNAcentral.
AUUGAACGCUGGCGGAAUGCUUUACACAUGCAAGUCGAACGGCAGCACGGGGGCAACCCUGGUGGCGAGUGGCGAACGGGUGAGUAAUACAUCGGAACGUGCCCAGUCGUGGGGAUAACGUAGCGAAAGCUACGCUAAUACCGCAUACGAACUCUGGUUGAAAGCGGGGACGUCGCAAGAGCCUCGCGCGAUUGGAGCGGCCGAU